UACAGAGGGUGCGAGCGUUGUCCGGAAUCACUGGGCGUAAAGGGCGCGUAGGUGGCGACCCAAGUCGAUGGUGAAAGCUCGUCGCUCAACGACGAGUCGGCCACCGAUACUGGGUUGCUCGAGCACUGUAGAGGCAGAUGGAAUUCCGGGUGUAGCGGUGGAAUGCGUAGAGAUCGGGAAGAACAUCGGUGGCGAAAGCGCUCUACUGGACCACAACUGACACUCAGGGACGAAAGCUAGGGGAGCGAAUGGG
This 253-nucleotide ribosomal RNA is filed under the name uncultured bacterium. RNAcentral describes it as "partial 16S ribosomal RNA". It matches the Rfam family "Bacterial small subunit ribosomal RNA", at positions 524 to 776 of the family's 1533-position model. The record is from RNAcentral.